Molecule: ribosomal RNA, 252 nt
Filed under: uncultured bacterium
Lineage: Bacteria
Description: partial 16S ribosomal RNA
Rfam family: Bacterial small subunit ribosomal RNA
Source: RNAcentral
UACGGAGGAUGCGAGCGUUAUCCGGAUUUAUUGGGUUUAAAGGGUGCGUAGGCGGGAUGCCAAGUCAGCGGUAAAAAUGCGGUGCUCAACGCCGUCGAGCCGUUGAAACUGGCGUUCUUGAGUGGGCGAGAAGUAUGCGGAAUGCGUGGUGUAGCGGUGAAAUACAUAGAUAUCACGCAGAACUCCGAUUGCGAAGGCGGCAUACCGGCGCCCUACUGACGCUGAGGCACGAAAGCGUGGGUAUCGAACAGG